Molecule: ribosomal RNA, 1507 nt
Filed under: uncultured bacterium
Lineage: Bacteria
Description: bacterial SSU rRNA
Rfam family: Bacterial small subunit ribosomal RNA
Source: RNAcentral
GACGAACGCUGGCGGCGUGCCUAACACAUGCAAGUCGAACGAGAAACCAGCCUUUGAUUCCUUCGGGAUGAUAAGGCCGGUAGAAAGUGGCGAACGGGUGAGUAACGCGUGGGUAAUCUACCCUGUAAGUGGGGGAUAACCCUCCGAAAGGAGGGCUAAUACCGCAUAACAUCUUCCCUUCAUAAGAAGGAGAGAUUAAAGAUGGCCUCUUUAUAUGCUAUCACUUCAGGAUGAGUCCGCGUCCUAUUAGUUAGUUGGUAGGGUAAUGGCCUACCAAGACCACAAUGGGUAGCCGGUCUGAGAGGAUGUACGGCCACACUGGGACUGAGAUACGGCCCAGACUCCUACGGGAGGCAGCAGUGGGGAAUAUUGCGCAAUGGGCGAAAGCCUGACGACGCGACGCCGCGUGGGGGAAGAAGGCUUUCGGGUUGUAAACCCCUGUCACGAGUUAGGAAACGCAGAGGGGCCAAUACCCCCCCUGCCUGACAAAGGCUCGAGAGGAAGCGCCGGCUAACUCCGUGCCAGCAGCCGCGGUAAUACGGAAGGCGCAAACGUUGCUCGGUGUCACUGGGCUUGAAGCGCGCGUAGGCGGUUCGGCAAGUGCUGGGUAAAAGCCCCCGGCUCAACCGGGGAACCGCUCGGCAAACUGCCGGACUUGAGGGUCGAAAGGGGGGAGCAGAACUCUGGGUGUAGCGGUGAAAUGCGGAGAUAUCCAGGGGAAUGCCGGUGGCGAAGCGCUCUCUGGUCGAUUCCUGACGCUGCAGCGCGAAAGCUAGGGGAGCGAACGGGAUUAGAUACCCCGGUAGUCCUAGCCGUAAACGAUGGGCACUAGGUAGAGGAGCUUCCGAUGGCGUCUCUGCCGUAGCGAAAGCGUUAAGUGCCCCGCCUGGGGAGUACGGUCGCAAGGCUAAAACUCAAAGGAAUUGACGGGGGCUCACACAAGCGGUGGAGCAUGUUGCUCAAUUCGAUGCAACGCGAAGAACCUUACCAGGGCUUGAAAUGCGCGGAUUAGUCCCCCGAAAGGGGGGUGACACCCGAAAGGGUGGAACGUGCACAGGUGUUGCAUGGCUGUCGUCAGCUCGUGUCGUGAGAUGUCGGGUUAAGUCCCAUAACGAGCGGAACCCCUGCCGUUAGUUGCCAGCGGGUAAUGCCGGGCACUCUAGCGGGACUGCCGGUUACAAGCCGGAGGAAGGUGGGGACGACGUCAAGUCAUCAUGGCCCUUAUGUCCUGGGCUGCAAACGUGCUACAAUGGUCGGUACAGAAGGACGCAAUCCCGCAAGGGGGAGCAAAUCCCAAAAGCCGGCCCCAGUUCGGACUGGGGGCUGCAACUCGCCCCCAUGAAGCCGGAAUCGCUAGUAAUCGCGGAUCAGCCACGCCGCGGUGAAUACGUACCUGAGCCUUGUACACACCGCCCGUCACGCCACCAAAGCCGGGGGCACCCGAAGCCGCUGACCCAACCUCUUCACGAGGAGGGAGGCGCCCACAGUGAAACCGGCGAUGGGGACG